AUGUCCUGGGCCAUUCCAGCACCCGCUUUAUCUCCAGUGAUCUUUGACCCCUGCAUGUCAGGAGUUCAAUCUGGUACGUUCCACUCUUUGCCCCCACUUAAUUCUUUUUUAGCUGCUCGGCCUUUGAAACCUGGUGCCAUAUGCCAGCCCAAAAGAGCCCUGAUCAAUACCAGGGGACCACGUCCCUGUGACCUUGCAACCUGCACCGUAAAGGGCAGAGGGCAGAGCAGAGCGUUGGCCAUGUUUUCAUUACGAGAUUUCAGCUGCGGUUGUUGGAGGGGGAGGGAGAGCCUUUCUGUCUCACUUUCUUUCUUGCUUUCUUUUCAUGAAAUUUAGCCCAGCUGGAACACCAGUGCUCCUGGCUGCUUGUCGACUCCUCUGCUUCAUUUAAUGAAAGUGAGCAAGAGAACCACUGAAAAUUGAGAUGCCUGAGAAGUUAGAAUGGAAAGACCGGUAGCACAUCUUGGUGGAAGAAAGGAAUUGUUUGUGUCUGUCCUUUUCAGAUAUCCUGGGCACUUUGGGGGUGCAAAGUCUCGAUGGCCCUUGUAAUGAAGGGACCCAUGAAAAAUUGCUUGGUCUUCACAGAAGAGCCCUGGAGACGUUGCAAAGCAGGCACCCAAUUUCUCCCCCUAAAAGCUCAACUUCUCGCAUGGCCGAGCCCCUGCCCAAAGGAUGGGCCUGUAGGAAGAUGCUGGGGAUGUCCAGCUGUCCCUGCACCCCACAUUUCAGGUGUGGGGCAGUGUGUGGGGUUGUUUGAACCUCAACUACGCAGGGAACACAAGUCAAGGGCCACCGCAUUUUAAAGCCACCCCUUUUUCAGGCACACACCUGCCUCUUAGUCAUCUCUUUUGACUCUGCACAAAGAAAAAGUAUAUGUGCCUGCUUUCUGCCCUGCUUGCUUUCAUUUUUAGAAGGAGAUGAAGAGGGAAAAGUUUGCAGUGUCUCCAUGGGACAGCAGAGCUGGAACAGCUUCCAAAGGGAGAUUUAACCCAGACUCACCUUGUCAGAGAGGGAAACCCAGCAGCUAAGGCUAAGAGAAAGCCACUCCCCCAGGAACAGCCAGCUACCAAGUAAUACAGCAUGGAGAGACAGAAAUUCUCCUUCGGCACAGCAUCUUCUCUGUCUGCUGCUGUGGGUCCCAUCCCCAUGGUGUUCGGUGCCAGGGACCAUGUGGCAGGACCAGGCUGAUGGUGCUCUUGCCCCGUUUGCAACACAUCAACACACUGCUUGCCUCGGGCAGAGGUCAUCUGCAGUGCCAUGUCCAUAGGCAGGAGAAAGCUACUCCCAACACAAGGAGCAGACCUCCAAGAGGUGCAGGACAAAGCAUGGCCAUGCC
RNAcentral lists this long non-coding RNA (1336 nucleotides) under Anser brachyrhynchus (Pink-footed goose). RNAcentral describes it as "lncRNA (ENSABRG00000019196.1)". Lineage: Eukaryota; Metazoa; Chordata; Aves; Anseriformes; Anatidae. The record is from RNAcentral.